This 67-nucleotide transfer RNA is filed under the name Marmota monax (woodchuck). Its description in RNAcentral is "tRNA.Ala". It matches the Rfam family "tRNA". Rfam says of the family: Transfer RNA (tRNA) molecules are approximately 80 nucleotides in length. Their secondary structure includes four short double-helical elements and three loops (D, anti-codon, and T loops). Lineage: Eukaryota; Metazoa; Chordata; Mammalia; Rodentia; Sciuridae. The record is from RNAcentral.
GGUUGUGGCUCAGCGGUAGAGCACUCGCCUAGCACAUGUGAGGCCCUGGGUUCGAUUCUCAGCACCA